GGCCUUGUAGUUCAGUUGUUUAGAGCGUUGGCUGUACUAAAGCUUUCUCCUUGUUGACGUGGGUUCGAAUCCCAGUGAGGCCG
This 83-nucleotide transfer RNA is filed under the name Schistocephalus solidus. It matches the Rfam family "tRNA". Rfam says of the family: Transfer RNA (tRNA) molecules are approximately 80 nucleotides in length. The record is from Rfam by way of RNAcentral. Lineage: Eukaryota; Metazoa; Platyhelminthes; Cestoda; Diphyllobothriidea; Diphyllobothriidae.